RNAcentral lists this ribosomal RNA (489 nucleotides) under uncultured bacterium. RNAcentral describes it as "partial 16S ribosomal RNA". It matches the Rfam family "Bacterial small subunit ribosomal RNA", at positions 29 to 504 of the family's 1533-position model. The record is from RNAcentral.
AGUGAACGCUGGCGGUAGGCCUAACACAUGCAAGUCGAACGGCAGCACAGUAAGAGCUUGCUCUUACGGGUGGCGAGUGGCGGACGGGUGAGGAAUACAUCGGAAUCUACUUUUUCGUGGGGGAUAACGUAGGGAAACUUACGCUAAUACCGCAUACGACCUACGGGUGGAAGCAGGGGAUCUUCGGACCUUGCGCGAUUGAAUGAGCCGAUGUCGGAUUAGCUAGUUGGCGGGGUAAAGGCCCACCAAGGCGACGAUCCGUAGCUGGUCUGAGAGGAUGAUCAGCCACACUGGAACUGAGACACGGUCCAGACUCCUACGGGAGGCAGCAGUGGGGAAUAUUGGACAAUGGGCGCAAGCCUGAUCCAGCCAUACCGCGUGGGUGAAGAAGGCCUUCGGGUUGUAAAGCCCUUUUGUUGGGAAAGAAAAGCAGCAGGUUAAUACCCCGCUGUUCUGACGGUACCCAAAGAAUAAGCACCGGCUAACUUC